CUUCGGGGGUACACGAGUGGCGCACGGGUGCGUAACACGUAUGCAACCUACCCUUCAGCGGGGGAUAGUCGCGGGAAACUGCGAAUAAUACCCCAUACGAUCUUGGUUUGGCAUCGGACUAAGAUGAAAGUUCCGGCGCUGAAGGAUGGGCAUGCGUCCCAUUAGCUAGUUGGUGAGGUAACGGCUCACCAAGGCGACGAUGGGUAGCUGGUCUGAGAGGAUGAUCAGCCACAUGGGCACUGAGACACGGGCCCAACUCCUACGGGAGGCAGCAGUGAGGAAUCUUGGUCAAUGGGGGCAACCCUGAACCAGCCAUGCCGCGUGGAGGAAGACGGCCCUCUGGGUUGUAAACUCCUUUAGCUAGGGGCUAAGGCAGUGCUACAGGCAUUGUUGCAGGUACCUAGAGAAUAAGCGCCGGCUGACUACGUGCCAGCAGCCGCGGUAAUACGUAGGGCGCAAGCGUUGUCCGGAUUUAUUGGGUUUAAAGGGUGCGUAGGCGGAUAUGUAAGUUCGUGGUGAAAUCGUCCGGCUUAACCGGAUACCCGCCAUGGAUACUGUGUAUCUUGAGUGUGGAUGAGGAAGUUAGAAUGCGUGGUGUAGCGGUGAAAUGCAUAGAUAUCACGCAGAAUACCGAUUGCGAAGGCAGACUUCUGGUCCAUAACUGACGCUGAGGCACGAAAGCGUGGGUAGCGAACAGGAUUAGAUACCCUGGUAGUCCACGCUGUAAACGAUGAUCACUAGGUGUUCGGCCGAUAUGGUUGAGUGCCCAAGCGAAAGCGAUAAGUGA
RNAcentral lists this ribosomal RNA (787 nucleotides) under uncultured organism. RNAcentral describes it as "bacterial SSU rRNA". It matches the Rfam family "Bacterial small subunit ribosomal RNA", at positions 78 to 867 of the family's 1533-position model. The record is from RNAcentral.